AAAUAGCCCGGAUAGUAGUGGAAAGCGUUGCAGCCCAAAGGCGUUGUUUUUCCUGACCUAAAAAAGCGACCAAAGGAAGCUCUUUUUAGGGCAAUGGAAAAAUAGCUUGUGGGCAAAACCUUGAAACGGAUAGCCGGAAUAGCU
RNAcentral lists this small RNA (144 nucleotides) under Flavobacterium gillisiae. RNAcentral describes it as "Flavo-1 RNA". It matches the Rfam family "Flavo-1 RNA". Lineage: Bacteria; Pseudomonadati; Bacteroidota; Flavobacteriia; Flavobacteriales; Flavobacteriaceae. The record is from RNAcentral.